Nematolebias whitei (Rio pearlfish) is the source of this 158-nucleotide long non-coding RNA. RefSeq lists it as uncharacterized. Lineage: Eukaryota; Metazoa; Chordata; Actinopteri; Cyprinodontiformes; Rivulidae. The record is from RefSeq and is a predicted model, not a curated record. The transcript has 3 exons.
UGUCGACCAAAAUCACUGGAGGUUUCUGAAACUCUGUGAACCACACAGUCUUUCUGGUGGAUCAAGUUCAGCAGAAGACGAUUCAAAACCUGCAAAAACAUUUAGAUUGCCAGAGAAGUGAUGAAGACUUUCCUGUUAUUCCAGCAUCAGUUUUGAAA